This 233-nucleotide unclassified non-coding RNA is filed under the name Hevea brasiliensis (rubber tree). The record is from RNAcentral. Lineage: Eukaryota; Viridiplantae; Streptophyta; Magnoliopsida; Malpighiales; Euphorbiaceae.
GUGUUUCUGGUUAUUAAUUUAGAAAUGGUCAUGCGUACUGUUAAAAUAUCUACUUUGUGCAUAAAUAGGGGGUCAAGUUUGAAAUCUUAGAAAAUCAUGUGGUGCUUGAACUAUGGACUACUGUGCUAGAACAUCUGAGCAUACUGAAUUUCCAGUCUUAAAUUAGCGGCUGUAUCCCGGAUAGUAGUUGCAUGUCUUUUUUCCAUCAGUGCAGUAUAAUCGCACUGAUAUAU